GAUGAACGCUGGCGGCGUGCCUAAUACAUGCAAGUCGAGCGAACAGAUGAGGAGCUUGCUCCUCUGACGUUAGCGGCGGACGGGUGAGUAACACGUGGAUAACCUACCUAUAAGACUGGGAUAACUUCGGGAAACCGGAGCUAAUACCGGAUAAUAUAUUGAACCGCAUGGUUCAAUAGUGAAAGACGGUUUUGCUGUCACUUAUAGAUGGAUCCGCGCCGCAUUAGCUAGUUGGUAAGGUAACGGCUUACCAAGGCAACGAUGCGUAGCCGACCUGGGAGGGUGAUCGGCCACACUGGAACUGAGACACGGUCCAGACUCCUACGGGAGGCAGCAGUAGGGAAUCUUCCGCAAUGGGCGAAAGCCUGACGGAGCAACGCCGCGUGAGUGAUGAAGGUCUUCGGAUCGUAAAACUCUGUUAUUGGGGAAGAACAAAUGUGUAAGUAACUAUGCACGUCUUGACGGUACCUAAUCAGAAAGCAACGGCUAACUACGUG
RNAcentral lists this ribosomal RNA (497 nucleotides) under uncultured bacterium. RNAcentral describes it as "partial 16S ribosomal RNA". It matches the Rfam family "Bacterial small subunit ribosomal RNA", at positions 28 to 507 of the family's 1533-position model. The record is from RNAcentral.